AUGGCUGCUGGGAUGUGGCCAUGGGAACGAUCUUCUUAUCGCAGACUGUACUUGGAAUCCUGGGGAUUUCUCUCUUAUUUACCAUUAUCUGUCCUUUUACAUCACUGGGUGCAGGUUAAGGUCCACAGAUUUGAUGAUCAGACACCUAAUUGUAGCCAACACCGUAUUCCUCCUCCCUAGAGGAGUCCCACAGACAAUGGCAGCUUUUGGGUUUAGGCAUUUCCGGAGUGAUUCUGGAUGUAAAUUUCUUUUUUGUGUCCACAGAGUUGUCAGGGGAGUGUCCAUUGGCAGCACCUGCCUCCUGAGUGUCUCCCAGGCCAUCACCAUCAGCCCCAGGAGCUCAGGUGGGCAGAGCUUAAAGGGAACGCCCCCAAGCACGCUGGCUCCUGUGUGUUCCUCAGCUGGCUCCUCCCUGGUCAAUAUCAUUGUUCUCAUGCACGUGACCGGCAAGUGGAGCAACAAAAAUACCACAAAGACAAAAGAUCUGGGAUACUGUUCUGCUGCUGAUCACGAGGACACCAGAGAGUCGCUGACGCGGCACUGCUGUCCUUCCCUGAUGUGAUCUGCCUGGGGCUCAUGCUCUGGGGCAGCAGCUCCAUCGUUUGCAUCCUGCACAGGCACAAGCGGCGGGUCCAGCACAUUCAUAGGACCAGCGUCUCCCCCACAUCCUCCCCUGAGUCCGGAGCUACCAAAACCAUCCUCCUGGUGAGCACGUUUGUGUCCUUUUACACUCUCUCUUCACCUUUCAAGUUUGUUUGGCUCUUUUGAAUAAUCCCAGUCAGCUGGUGGUGAACAUCUCUGCAAUGAUCAGUGCAGGUUUCCCAGCUGUCAGCCCCUUUCUUCUCAUGAGUGGGGACUCCUGUGUAUCCAAGCUUUGCUUUGCUUAG
This 887-nucleotide long non-coding RNA is filed under the name Homo sapiens (human). Its description in RNAcentral is "non-protein coding lnc-ZNF813-1:3". Lineage: Eukaryota; Metazoa; Chordata; Mammalia; Primates; Hominidae. The record is from RNAcentral.